GCUCUCUGGCCUGAGGGCCAAUGCCUUUGCCAGACCCAGUAUGGCCCAGGACCUUUCCUGCUCCCUCUCCAGGGCUCCCAGGUUUUGGCGGCUACUUACAACCAGGCUGCCCAGCUCUGGAAGGUGGGAGAGACACAAUCCAAGGUGAGGCCCUGCUGGGGAGGCUGCACGAUUAAGGGUUAAACGAUCAUGCCUUAGGAUUUGCAGAAUGGUUAUUUGGGGGCUUGGCUUAAUAUGUGCUUUCUGUGGGGACAGGAAACAUUGUCUGGACACAAGGACAAAGUGACAGCUGCCAAAUUCAAGCUAACAAGGCACCAGGCAGUGACUGGGAGCCGAGACCGGACAGUGAAGGAGUGGGACCUGGGCCGCGCCUACUGUGAGGCCCAAUCCCAUUUGCCCCAACUUGUGGUCAUCAGUGCCCUU
RNAcentral lists this long non-coding RNA (423 nucleotides) under Rattus norvegicus (Norway rat). RNAcentral's name for it is "long non-coding RNA NONRATT002992". Lineage: Eukaryota; Metazoa; Chordata; Mammalia; Rodentia; Muridae. The record is from RNAcentral.